RNAcentral lists this ribosomal RNA (313 nucleotides) under uncultured Winogradskyella sp. Its description in RNAcentral is "bacterial SSU rRNA". It matches the Rfam family "Bacterial small subunit ribosomal RNA", at positions 28 to 334 of the family's 1533-position model. Lineage: Bacteria; Pseudomonadati; Bacteroidota; Flavobacteriia; Flavobacteriales; Flavobacteriaceae. The record is from RNAcentral.
GAUGAACGCUAGCGGCAGGCCUAACACAUGCAAGUCGAACGGUAACAGGAAAAAGCUUGCUUUUUCGCUGACGAGUGGCGCACGGGUGCGUAACGCGUAUACAAUCUACCUUUUACAGGGGGAUAGCCUUUGGAAACGAAGAAUAAUACCCCAUAGCAAGUAUUUAUGGCAUCAUAGAAACUUUAAAGAUUCGUCGGUAAAAGAUGAGUAUGCGUUCUAUUAGCUAGAUGGUGUGGUAACGGCACACCAUGACAACGAUAGAUAGGGGCCCUGAGAGGGGGAUCCCCCACACUGGUACUGAGACACGGACCAG